GAUGAACGCUGACAGAAUGCUUAACACAUGCAAGUCAACUUGAAUUUGGGUUUUUAACUUAGAUUUGGGUGGCGGACGGGUGAGUAACGCGUAAAGAACUUGCCUCACAGCUAGGGACAACAUUUAGAAAUGAAUGCUAAUACCUGAUAUUAUGAUUUUAAGGCAUCUUAGAAUUAUGAAAGCUAUAAGCACUGUGAGAGAGCUUUGCGUCCCAUUAGCUAGUUGGAGAGGUAACAGCUCACCAAGGCGAUGAUGGGUAGCCGGCCUGAGAGGGUGAACGGCCACAAGGGGACUGAGACACGGCCCUUACUCCUACGGGAGGCAGCAGUGGGGAAUAUUGGACAAUGGACCGAGAGUCUGAUCCAGCAAUUCUGUGUGCACGAUGAAGUUUUUCGGAAUGUAAAGUGCUUUCAGUUGGGAAGAAAAAAAUGACGGUACCAACAGAAGAAGUGACGGCUAAAUACGUGCCAGCAGCCGCGGUAAUACGUAUGUCACGAGCGUUAUCCGGAUUUAUUGGGCGUAAAGCGCGUCUAGGUGGUUAUGUAAGUCUGAUGUGAAAAUGCAGGGCUCAACUCUGUAUUGCGUUGGAAACUGUAUAACUAGAGUACUGGAGAGGUGAGCGGAACUUCAAGUGUAGAGGUGAAAUUUCCUAAUAUUUGUACGAAUGCACGAUGGGAAAGACAACUUUCUGGGACAGAUUCUGAGCUUUAGCGGGGAAAAUUGGUGGCACACCAGCUUUAAUAAUCUUUGGUUGCUAGCGCGGAUUACCUCCGUUUGUGUGGUGCUUUUGAAGGCGCCCCCCCCGGCGGGGGCUCGUGGCGUUAUUUUUUUGGUUAAAAUCUACCUUUUAGAGUC
RNAcentral lists this ribosomal RNA (855 nucleotides) under uncultured Streptococcus sp. RNAcentral describes it as "bacterial SSU rRNA". It matches the Rfam family "Bacterial small subunit ribosomal RNA", at positions 28 to 873 of the family's 1533-position model. Lineage: Bacteria; Bacillati; Bacillota; Bacilli; Lactobacillales; Streptococcaceae. The record is from RNAcentral.